CAUUUACUUGCUUCUUAAUCUCAUGGCUUCCCUGACGGAGCCUACUGCUCACUAGCCAUCUCGAAGGUAGGGAGGGUCAACUCGCACUACGAACCGAGACCGUCUGCCGGGGCCUAAAUAGGCAACCCUUGGGACCCAAAAUAGGCGAUCCCACGUGACCAACAUCCGGAGCGCACUACUUGUGUGGGGCUUCCAUCACAAGAUUUAGAAACAGGCCGUGAGCAUGAUCCAAUCCUCGUCUCGAGAAUACCCUAUCCUCUAGGGUUACAAUCAUCAUAUAGUCCAUAGGUUCCAUAUACACUACGACUCACAUAUGUCACUCGUUCUUUCGCUUAUUCACUAUCAACUAGAUGCCACUCGUUCUUUACAAGUUUCCAAUGCAAUAGCCAAUACAUUACUAAACUCUCAUUCACACGUAUCAUCUCAUUAUAGGGUUCCACAUCACAUAUAUAAACCUCAAGCAUGCUGAAUAUAAGUGCCAAGCCCAAAUACAUUAUUCUACCAAAGAACAUGCAAGGUAUAGGACCAAAUCACCAUUUAUCCCCCUAUAAUGCAGAUGUCAAUAUAUCAAUAUGCAAUUUGAUCAAUAUAGAGCUUAGACAUAAAAGGGAGCCCGAUUGCUUCGGGAUGGACACCACCCACCUCUUGGCGAUGCCGCGAUGGUAGAAACUCGGCAUUGGGGUUCUUGCGCGUCGCCCUAACUCCUCGGGGCGAAGCGAGCCCUCUAGUACCCGAUUCGGCGAUUUCUCCGCACCCGCUCGUCGGAUCGAGAAACCGACUUCGCCGAUGCGUUCCGGGACCUAGCAAUUAGGUUUGCGACCUAAUAGAUUAGAUCAACACCCUAGAUUUCCAAAAUCCCCAAAUCCGUGCCCUAGAAUAGCAACGGGGGAGAAAUCCGGGGUGCAAGCUUCGAUUGCGAGCUCGAACCUUCUCCCUAGUUCCAUNCGGAGCGUCGCCGCUCUUAACCUUCCUCGCCGCCGCACGCGGCCGCCUCGUCCUCGCGGGGCUCCGCAGCGGGCCCGACCGCACUCCGCUGCCGCCGCCACCGGGGGCCCGCUCAUCAUCCUCGACGCCGCUGCCGCCGCCACCUUCGCCGCCCCCACCUACCCGAUCUCGAGCCCCACCUAUGCCGAGAAGGUGGGCUGCCGAGGCGGUGCUACACGAUGCCGCAGGGAGGAGAAAGAGGAGAAAGAAUGAGGAAGAAGAGUAAGAAAUAAAAAUAGUGUAAAUUGAAGGAAGAAGAAGAAAAAAAAUAGUGUAAAUUUCACCUAAAUUGUCACGCCCCGAAAGCGAUACCAAUUUGGUUCGGCCCGGGCGCGUCGAACAGACGCCGAACGGACAGGACCUCCCCUGUCCGUCCAAGGCUAACCAACAGAUCGUGCAUAAGAAUUUACCCAGGAAUCAAUUCAUAAAUACACGAUCAAUAAGCACCACUAGUGCUAUAAACAAGAGCAAGAUACAAGUAUAGAAACAUAUACAAGUACAUAAGAGAGAAGAGACUAUCUAUUACAUUCAUUUGAUUUACUACAUUUAGAUACAUCUUUUACAUUCUUCCAAAAUAUAAAUACAAGCACUCAACCCUCACCCUAUACAACAUCUACUCUCAAAUACAAAAGGGGUGACGGCUAAUGCAAGAAAAGGAGGUAGCUAAUGCGACUAGAACGCCGGGCCCUUACCGCGAUCCUCACGCUCACCGGGGACGCCCGAACUGGAACCUGUGGUAAAAUGGGGGUGAGAACUAACUUCCUUAGUUCCCAGUGGGUUCGGCCGCCGACUCCGCCGAUCUCCCCACUAGGUCCAAGCGGGCAUAAGUAGACAAUCGAUAGAUAGGUAGAUAGAUAAGGAAAGCUGUAAAUGGCGGAAAUGAAGCUACGCUACCAUGCCCAAUCAUAAGUAUAUGAAUGCAUGUCCAAUGAAAUAGGUAAGCAACUAAUCUGUUAUCAUGUCCAAGGGUGAAGCUAUUCACUCGUUCAUUAACCUCAUUUACUUGUUCAUUAAUCUCAUGGCUUACCCGAAGGCUCGCCUACAGCUCACUAGCCAUCUCGACACGUAGGGAGAAUCAACUCACACUACGGACCCGAGACCGUCUGGCGGGGCCAUAUAGGCAAUCCCUGGCGUGACCAACAUCCGGAGCGCACUACUUGUGUGGGGCUUCCAUCACAAGAUUUAACAGACCGUGAGCAUGAUCCAAUCCUCUAAGCUCGAGGAUACCCUGUCCUCUAGAGUCACAAUCAUCAUAUAGUCCAUAGGUGUCGCAUACACUAUUAACUAGAUUGUCCGUUUGUCCGCUAUCGACUAGAUGCCACUCGUUCAUAGUUUACUAUUAACUAGAUGCCACUCGUUCAUAGUUCAUCAUUUUCUCUACAUCAUAGGAUUCACAAUCUCGACCCAAUCCUUAUCAAUCCAAUAUAUCAAUUAUCCGAUGUACGCUACGAUACCAUGAAGGAAAAACAUAAGGAAAGGCAAUGCAUACUAAUCCUAUAAUGCAAUAAUACAAGAUGCAAGAUCAAAUAUACUAAGACAUAGGAGGGAGCCCGAUUGCUUCGGGAUGGACACCACCCACCUCUUGGCGAUGCCGUGAUAGUAGAAAACUCGACGUUGGGGUUCUUGUACGCCGCUUCAACUCCUCGGGGCGAAGCGAGCCCUCGAGUACCCGAUUCGGCGAUUUCUCCGCACCCGCUCGUCGGAUCGAGAAACCGACUUCGCCGACGCGUUCCGGGACCUAGCAAUUAGGUUUGCGACCUAUUAGAUUAGAUCAAAACCCUAGAUUUACCAAAAACCCAAUUCCGUGCCCUAGGAUGGCAACGGGGAAGAAAUCCGUGGUGCGAGCUUCAAUUGCGAGCUCGAACCUUCUCCCUAGUUCCAUUAGGUCCCAUUCAAACCAUAAAAACCCCAAAACCCUAGAAACACCAUUAAAGGGUUUAGAGCUUACCCCUACACAAGGUUCCUUCAAGCUUGAGGGAGAGGGAGAGAAGAAGAUAUCUUCUUCUUCUUCUUCUUCUUAGUCUUCUCUUUCUCUUUCUUCUUCUUUCUCUUCUUCUUCUCCUUCCUCUUCUUCUUCUCCUUCUUCUCUUUCUUUUCUUUUCUUUCCUAGAGAGAGGAGAAUAGUGAGAGAGAGAGAGAGGAAGAGAGCAACUGAGGGAGAGAGAGGGGUCCCCAAGCCCUAUUAAAGGCCAUUUUGCAACUAGCCCCCUCAACUUUUCAUCUUUAGAAUCAGCCCUCAUUGGGCAUUUUCGCAGUGAGGGACCGGUCUCCCCGACUUGGGACCGGUCCCCGAAGGCUGCCAUUUCGAGCAGAGGGGUUUUCGCGUUCGGGAACCGGUCCUUGCCUGAGAGACCGAUCCCCGGGAGACCGGUCCUAGUCCGAGAGAUCGGUUCCCGAAAGCUGAGUUUUCGGGACUUAGCCAAAUUUCGGCUAUUUUCGCUGGGCCAACGUUCGGGAACCGGUCCCUGCCUGCCAGGGACCGGUCUCAUCAUAGACCUCCGCAGCCCAGCCUGAUGGGACCGGUCCCUCCCUGCCAGGGACCGGUCCCCGAGAGCAUUUCUGCUCCAGUGCAAGUUUUGCAUUGGUGCUCUCGCGGACCUUUCCUUAAUGCACUUUAUGCACUAUAAUCACCUUCGCACUUUCCGAAGCUUACGCACUCGACAACUAGUCGAUUCUAAUCGAAGUCUAAUCCUCGAGUUUCGAGAAUUCACUUCCUUACAUCCUUCCCACCUUAAAAGAGUUUCGUCCUCGAAACGAACUCAAUACUACAAAAACUUAAUUAGAAUUUCAAAUUCUAAGCUCAUACCUCGAUUUAGCCUUCGAAUAGGCGAUGAUGAUUCGCCUUCAUCUCCUCCUCAAGCUCCCAGGUGGCUUCGCGAUCAUCAUGAUUGCUCCACCGGACUCGGACAUAAGGAAUUUCUCGAUUCCUUAGCUUGUGCACUUCACGAGCGGUAAUCGCCACCGGAAAUUCCUCGUAGCUCAAGUCCUCCUGAAGUUCCGGCGGCUCGUACAACAUUGCGUGCUCGGGAUCAGGUAUGUACUUGCGCAAAUUGGAGACGUGGAAUACGUUGUGCACAUCUGCAAGCUUUGGCGGCAACGCGAGCCGAUAAGCCACCGUCCCAAUCCGCUCCAAGAUCUCGUAGGGGCCAAUGUAUCGGGGACUUAAUUUUCCCCGAACUCCAAAUCGUUUUACACCCCUCAUAGGCGAGACCUUUAAGAAGACGCGGUCGCCCACCGCAAACUCUAGAUCCCGUCGGCGCCUGUCCGCAUAGCUCUGUUGUCGAGAUUGCGCCGUGAGUAACCGCUUGCGAGCAAGGCGGACCUUUUCUUCCGCUUCCCGCAGCACAUCGGGGCCAAAUUCCGUGCGCUCGCCCACGUCACUCCAAUAAAUGGGAGAGCGGCACUUCCGCCCAUAAAGAGCUUCGAACGGUGCCAUCUCCACACUAGCGUGAUAACUGUUGUUGUAGGCGAACUCGACCAUUGGCAAAUACUUACACCAACCUCCUUUGUAAUCGAUGACACACACUCGCAACAUAUUCUCCAGAGUCUGAAUGGUUCUUUCAGUUUGUCCGUCUGUCUGGGGAUGAAAUGCAGUACUGAAAUUGAGCCGCGUGCCAAGGGCCUCCUGCAGGCUUUUCCAGAAAUGUGAGGUAAACUUGGGGUCUCUAUCCGACACAAUCGACUUUGGUACCCCGUGUAACCUCACUACUUCGUCGAGAUAUACCUGUGCCAACUUAUCUCCCGCCCAGGUGGUGUGGACCGGCAAAAAAUGCGCUGACUUCGUCAAGCGAUCCACAAUCACCCAGAUUGCGUCAUGGCCCCCCGUUGAGCGAGGUAAGCCAACGAUGAAGUCCAUAGAUAUGUCCUCCCAUUUUCAGACGGGAAUAGGUAGGCUUUGAAGCUUUCCCGCUGGAAACCGGCGCUCCACCUUUACUUGCUGACAAGUCAAACACUUCGUCACGAAGCGCCCAAUAUCAGCUUUCAUCCCCGGCCACCAUAGAGUGCUUUCAACUCAUGAUACAUCUUGGUGCCGCCUGGGUGAUCCGCGUAUGGAGACCGGUGGGCUUCCUGCAAGAUCAGCUAGGGAAGCUCUUCAUUCUCGGGCAUGCACCAUCGGUUUCGAAACCGAAGCGCGCCACCGGCGUCCACACUAAAAUUGCCAUCUCGUCCUUCCUCGAUAUUGCGCCGCACUCUUUGGAGACUCGGAUCUGCAAGUUGCAAUUUCUUGAUCCUCUCCAAUAAUGUUGGUUGAAUAAUGAGCGCCAUCAACUGAGCCGGGACCUCGGGAGCGACCACUUCGAGGUCCAAUCGCUCCAUCUCCAGCCCUAGGGGCGCUUGCCGGGUAACAUCAAAGGCGAGGUUCUUCGCCGACUUUCUGCUAAGUGCCUCCGCGACCACAUUUGCUUUGCCGGGGUGGUAGAGAAUGUCAACGUCAUAAUCAAGUCUAUAACGAACUCGAUCUCCUGAUCCGGCGGCAUCCCCGCUAGCUCCGCGAGAAAUACAUCCAGGAAUUCCCGCACCACCGAUAGUUCCUCCAACUUCGGAGCUACUCGGUCCACUUCCACGACGGUCGCCAAAAAUGCUACGCAGCCGCCGUUAACCAACUUCCUAGCUCUCGUCGCUGAUACUGUCGCGACGAAGCAAGAACUCCGACAAGCUCGAUAAACGAACUCCCUCUGUCCUGGCUCCCGAAAGGUGAUUGAUUUAUUCUUACAAUCGAUCGUGGCGUAAUACCUUGAGAGCCAGUCCAUGCCCAAAAUGACGUCAUACGCCUCUAGUUUAGUAAGUUCCAACAUCCGGAUGGGCAUUAUCCAGUCACCCACUUGCACCGGACAUAACGAGCACUCCGUAUAGGUAUUAAAUGACGACUCGGGACCCUCGACUCGCCACUUGCCACUUGCUUCUAUAGGUAUGUCAUGCAUGCGUGCAAAUGCUCUACUAAUAAAUGAAUGUGUGGCACCCGUGUCGAACAUAGCUCUGGAGCGAACUCCAUUGAUUAGAACUAUACCUGCCACAACAUCAGGCUCCUCGGCUUGGGCAGGCUCCUCGGCAUGGGCCUGAGCGGCGAAUACCCGUCCGCUCGGCGCUGAUCGAGUCAUCUCCGGCUGGUGCGGCGCCAAUGCGCGUCCCGCCGAUACAGGAACAUACGGGGCCCCUCCUUGAUAGGGCGAGGGCGCUGGAGCCGACGCGACUGACGGAGUAGACGAGGCCCUUGCCGGACAGUCGCGGCUGAUGUGUCCUUCUUGUCCACAAUUAAAGCACCUUCCCUGUCGUUGUCUACACUGCGGUGCCCGAUGGCCUCGAUCUCCACAGAUAGGGCAACGCUGCGGCCCACGGCCCCACGACUGCGACCGCGGAUACUUCGGGGGCCUCCUCGAACUCGAUUGUCCCCCCGAACCGCCGCCCGAUCGCUUCUUCCCCUUGUCCUGGGAUCCGGCCAACAACUCACGUUCCUCUCGCACGCGGGCAUCUCCAUGCUCUGCCCAUAGCGCCUUAUUGAAGACCUCGGCGAAAGUCGUGAGCUGGAACAAUUGCACCGCUCUAUAUAUCCACGGCCGAAGUCCUUGCAAGAACCAUUCGGCCCGCUCCGCGUCAUCCUUAACCACGUCCGGGACGCAGUCUAUAAUGUGGGAGAACUCCUGUUCGUAGUCCGCCACCGGACGAUCCCCCUGUCUCAAUUUUCAAAACCUCUCCUUUAGCUUUCGCUUCUCGGUGUCGGGGAAAUAAUUUCCAAACAUCUCCUUCUUAAACUCCUCCCAGAGCAUCGGUGGAAGGUCACAGGGUCGAUCCCGCUUCAACCGCUUCCACCACACCUUCGCCGCCUUUUCGAGGCAAUGGGUGGCGAGGGGCACCUUAUCCUUCUCCGGGGUGUAUAGGUCCUCGAAGAGAGUCUCCAUAGAGUCUAUCCAAGACUCCACCACCGACGGCUCCACAUUUCCCCCUUCAAAAGUUGGUGGCUUAAACUUCAUAAACCUUAUUAGAGUCGUUAGCGCACGCUCCCGCUCCACUUCGUCGGCCGUCGUAUCGAGUGCCGCCGAACCCGAAGCUGUCGGAGGAGCACUUGUCGGCGGGGGAACUGCCGCCAUCGGAACUGCCGCUAUGCCCUCACCCUCGGUCGCUACCGGCGUGCGUGCCGAAGGUGCGGGCGGAUCGCGAUCUCCUGCCGCCGUCGCGGCCGCCGCCGCUGCCGCUUGCCGCUCCACAACUUCCUGGAGCUGCUCGAACCGAGCCUCCUGGCGCUGCAUCGCGCCCAACAUCGCAGCGACCUGCUCUCGCAGCUCCUGCACUUCCUCCGAUCUCGGCUGCUCGGGCUCCGCAGAAGGCGGUACCGGAGCAGACCUACGCACAUAACGCCUUGGGGACAUUUGCUCCUGAAAAGCAACAACUCAAUUAGUUAUCUUAAUCCGGUAACUUCCUCAACGUUCACGAAACUAAACGUCCCGACAACGAAAUCGGGCGGAAGCUCACAAGUGCUCUAGUGUUGGACUCUUAGUGUUGCGUCGUCGGCCGCCGACACAACCACUACAAGCCAGGAACUAGUGUCACUUGGAUUCGUCUCUAUUCACAGCUAGAGACACAACACCAACUUCGACCCAAUCAAUCAACUUCCGCCAUCGCCAUGGGUCACGUUCACUCACGUCCCUAUAACCUUAGGGUUUACCAACCUAGGGUCUCCUAGGUCAUCCUAGACACUCUCUUUACUUGCUCUGGUGCUCUGAUACCACUUUAUCUGUCACGCCCUGAAAGCGAUACCAAUUUGGUUCGGCCCGGGCGCGUCGAACAGACGCCGAACGGACAGGACCUCCCCUGUCCGUCCAAGGCUAACCAACAGAUCGUGUAUAAGAAUUUACCCAGGAAUCAAUUCAUAAAUACACGAUCAAGAAGCACCACUAGUGCAACGACCAAGAGCAAGAUACAAGUAUAAAAACAUAUACAAGUACAUAAGAGAGAAGAUAUAAUCUAUUACACUCAUUGGCUCAAUACAUUUAAGUACAUCUUUUACAUUCAUCCAAAAACAUAAGUACAAGCACUCAACCUCACCCUAUACAUCAUCUACUCUCAAGUACAAAAGGGUGACGGCUAAUGCAAAAAGGGAGGUAGCUAAUGCGACUAGAAUGCCGGGCCCUUACCGCGAUCCUCACGCUCACCGAGGACGCCCGAACUGGAACCUGUAGUAAAAUGGGGGUGAGAACUAACUUCCUUAGUUCCCAGUGGGUUCGGCCGCCGACUCCGCCGAUCUCCCCACUAGGUCCAAGUCGGGCACAAGUAGAUAAUCGAUAGAUAGAUAGAUAAGGAAAGCGGUAAAUGACAGGAGUAAAGCUACUCUACUAUGCCCAAUCAUAAAUAUAUGAAUGCAUGUACAAUGAAAUAGGUAAGCAGCUAACCUGUUAUCAUGUCCAAAGGUAAAGCUAUUCACUCGUUCGUUUACCUCCUUUACUUGUUCAUUAAUCUCAUGGCUUACCCGAAGGCUCGCCUACAGCUUACUAGCCAUCUCGAAGGUAGAGAGGGUCAACUCGCACUACGAACCGAGACCGUCUGGCGGGGCCAAAUAGGCAAUCCCUUGGGACCCAAAAUAGGCAAUCCCACGUGACCAACUCCGGAGCGCACUACUUGUGUGGGGCUUCCAUCACAAGAUUUAAAACAGACCGUGAGCAUGAUCCAAUCCUCGUCUCGAGAAUACCCUAUCCUCUAGGGUUACAAUCAUCAUAUAGUCCAUAGGUUCCAUAUACACUACGACUCACAUAUGUCACUCGUUCUUUCGCUUAUUCACUAUCAACUAGAUGCCACUCGUUCUUUACAAGUUUCCAAUGCAAUAGCCAAUACAUUACUAAACUCCCAUUCACACGUAUCAUCUCAUUA
This 8844-nucleotide long non-coding RNA is filed under the name Ananas comosus (pineapple). RNAcentral describes it as "long non-coding RNA (ACOM_LNC021464)". Lineage: Eukaryota; Viridiplantae; Streptophyta; Magnoliopsida; Poales; Bromeliaceae. The record is from RNAcentral.